RNAcentral lists this unclassified non-coding RNA (1292 nucleotides) under Octopus sinensis (East Asian common octopus). Its description in RNAcentral is "fibulin-1-like, transcript variant X1". Lineage: Eukaryota; Metazoa; Mollusca; Cephalopoda; Octopoda; Octopodidae. The record is from RNAcentral.
UAUUCCUUCUGAUAUAAGAAGCGGUUCGUGUGUCGAGAAGCGAGAGGAACACUGAAGAGAAAAGAAAUAUAACAGCCAUGAAGAGUCUCGUCCUUUUCUUAUUUCUUUUCGUUGUUGGUCUUUGGGUGACUGAAGGACAGCAGUUGACUCAAGGACCGUCGGUGGCUACAGGACUGCCAGGGACUAGGGAAGGAGGGGAAGAACAAGAGAGUGCGCCACUACCAGAUGAUGAAGAAGAUUUAGGGAGUGAUAAAGACCUAGGGGACGGCGAGUCGCCAGGGAAUGACGACGAGUCAGAGGAUGAAGGUGAGUCGGAGGAUGAAGGCGAGUCAGAGGAUGAAGGCGAGCCAGAGGAUGAAGAAGAGUCAGACGAUGAAGCGUUAUCGGCUGAUGAGGAGUCAGAGGAUGACGAUCAGGGAGGGGAUGGUGACGAGUCAGACGAUGACGACGAGGGAGGAGAUGAAUACGAAUCAGGGGACCCGGACGAGUCAGGGAAUGAAGACGCUUCAGAGGUAGUUGAUGCAAUUGAUGAAGAAUCCGACAGUGAAGUUGACCCGGUGAGUGGAGUUCCGCCGUUUCAUAACGAAACAGUUGAUUCUGGUAACUCGACGACAGAAGGAGAAAGUCUUGCUGUGCCCAAACGUCUGCGCAAAUGUUGGAAGGGCUGUUAUAGAAUCGUGACCUAUAAAAUAUCAAGUAGAAAGCGGUGUGCGGAAUUAAAAUGGUGCAUAAAAUACAGAACUGGCUAUAAAAGAAUUCGUACACCCUGUUAUAAUUGCUGUAAUGGAUGGAGUGACAAGAAUGGGCAGUGCACAGACAUCAACGAGUGCAAAGGGAGGAACCCGUGUGGCAAAUACGGAAGAUGCCGCAACAGACUAGGAUCUUACAGAUGUUACUGUAAACGAGGUUUCCGUUUCAAUGGGAGAACAUGUGUUGACAUCAACGAGUGCAAAGGAAGGAACCCGUGUGGCAAAUACGGAAGAUGCCGCAACAGACUAGGAUCUUACAGAUGUUACUGUAAACGAGUUUUCGUUUCAAUCGGAGAACAUGUGUUGACAUCAACGAGUGCAAAGGGAGGAACCCGUGUGGCAAAUACGGAAGAUGCCGCAACAGACUAGGAUCUUACAGAUGUUACUGUAAACGAGGUUUCCGUUUCAAUGGGAGAACAUGUGUUGAUAUUAACGAAUGUUUACGCAAACCUUGUCGUUCUGGGGCCACAUGUCGCAACGCCCUCGGGUCCUAUCGUUGUAUAUGUAAACGAGGUUACCGAUAUGUAAAGAAUCAAUGUGUUG